RNAcentral lists this ribosomal RNA (732 nucleotides) under Triticum aestivum (bread wheat). RNAcentral describes it as "partial small subunit ribosomal RNA". Lineage: Eukaryota; Viridiplantae; Streptophyta; Magnoliopsida; Poales; Poaceae. The record is from RNAcentral.
AUGCCGGAGGGGGCGACGGCAUUGGAGAUCCCCUCCGACCGCCCGGCGUUCUUAACCAGCCUGUCCUACGGCGGGGGCCCUCCGGCCGCUACGGCGGUCUUCCUCCCCCGGGAGACGCUCACGGUCACGGGAUCCCCGGCCACAAUCAGUGUGUACUUCAAUUUCGUCCUCGACCCCGAGCUGGAGCACUACUGGCGGCGCCUUGCGUACGCCUACAUCACCCCACUGGACCUGCCGCAGAACUUCGAGCUCCUCCCUCCCGAACACGGCGCCGACAUGGCUGUGCUCUUCCGCACACCCGACUUCCGGGAGGCGGCCCUGCUGCGGCAGCCGUUCGUGCUCGACGGCGUCACCGUGAAGCUCCUGCGCGACGGGGAGACCCCCGACACCAUUCGAGUGUCGACUGACUACCUUGUCCAUGCCGCCCUGCGAGAUUACCCCAUUGAGCAGCGCACAGAGAAGGGGAUCAGGUGGAACUGCUGCAGAUUCGGGUACGUGCGCGAGAUCGACCCGGCCUGCUUCGUGGCGCCCGACCUAGCCACUGUCCGCGUCGUCCUUGAGCUGGAGCACCCUCGAGAGAUCCCCCACGAGCUCCGGAUUGACUACAGUGACGAUGAUGGCCCCACCAGCGUCGUCCCCGUCGAGAUCGUCAGGGUUUGGCAUCACUCACACUCCGACGACGCCAAUGGACAGUACCUGCCUCUCUUCCAGUCCCUGGUUGCGGCUGCUUGA